RNAcentral lists this ribosomal RNA (443 nucleotides) under uncultured bacterium. RNAcentral describes it as "partial 16S ribosomal RNA". It matches the Rfam family "Bacterial small subunit ribosomal RNA", at positions 338 to 795 of the family's 1533-position model. The record is from RNAcentral.
CCUACGGGAGGCAGCAGUGGGGAAUAUUGCACAAUGGGCGAAAGCCUGAUGCAGCAACGCCGCGUGAAGGAAGAAGGGUUUCGGCUCGUAAACUUCUAUCAACAGGGACGAAGCAAGUGACGGUACCUGACGAAUACGCCACGGCUAACUACGUGCCAGCAGCCGCGGUAAUACGUAGGUGGCAAGCGUUAUCCGGAUUUAAUGGGUGUAAAGGGCGUGUUGGCGGGGAAGUAAGUCAGAUGUGAAAACCACGGGCUCAACCUGUGACCUGGAUUUGAGACUGGUUGUCUUGAGUGCUGGAGAGGCAAGCGGAAUUCCGGGUGUAGCGGUGAAAUGCGUAGAUAUACGGAGGAACACCGGUGGCGAAGGCGGAUUGCUGGACAGUAACUGACGCUGAGGCGCGAAAGCGUGGGGAGCAAACAGGAUUAGAUACCCCAGUAGUC